RNAcentral lists this non-coding RNA (27 nucleotides) under Homo sapiens (human). Lineage: Eukaryota; Metazoa; Chordata; Mammalia; Primates; Hominidae. The record is from RNAcentral.
UGGUCAUGCCCUACCUUAACCCUGUGC